AGCAGACUCACUCCCCAUUCCUUGACUCGUUCAGCAACCGCCCGGCGUUGAUGUAUCAUUUGAACCCCCACGUCCCCUCAGCCUCGCUGCUCUCUCUCUCACCCUUGCGCAGCCACCAACCGCUCCCGCGGACGCGGCAAGGCAGGGCCAGGCCUCUGCGCACGACAGCCGGCCGGCUACAGCCGCUAGCCGUGGCCAUGGCGGCGGCCAGCCCUGCCCCGAGCUGCCCUCCAUGUACGGUGACCCCCGCCCCUUGGAGUCCUGGCCGCUCGCUCGGUCGUUCUCCGCGCCGAUCGCCCAGGAAGGUCUGCACUGCUCUCGUUGUCGCCGAGGCUAGUGGCCAGGAUGCCUUUGGUGCAAUCUAUGCUCAAGUAAAGAAGAAGGCGUCGAUGCGGAUCUCCAGGAGUUCCAGGACUUCGACGAGUUCGAGGAUUAGGCUAGCGACCACCCCCAGUCAGCUGCCUGUGGUGGGUUUAUUUACGUUGGCUAC
Molecule: long non-coding RNA, 490 nt
Organism: Zea mays
Lineage: Eukaryota; Viridiplantae; Streptophyta; Magnoliopsida; Poales; Poaceae
Exons: 2
Source: RefSeq, a predicted model, not a curated record